This 253-nucleotide ribosomal RNA is filed under the name uncultured bacterium. RNAcentral's name for it is "partial 16S ribosomal RNA". It matches the Rfam family "Bacterial small subunit ribosomal RNA", at positions 524 to 776 of the family's 1533-position model. The record is from RNAcentral.
UACAGAGGGGGCAAGCGUUGUUCGGAAUUACUGGGCGUAAAGGGCGCGUAGGCGGCCUUCUAAGUCGAACGUGAAAUCCCUGGGCUUAACCCAGGAACUGCGUCCGAUACUGGAAGGCUUGGAUCCGGGAGAGGGAUGCGGAAUUCCAGGUGUAGCGGUGAAAUGCGUAGAUAUCUGGAGGAACACCGGUGGCGAAGGCGGCAUCCUGGACCGGCAUUGACGCUGAGGCGCGAAAGCCAGGGGAGCAAACGGG